UAGCUAGUUGGUGGGGUAAGGGCCUACCAAGGCGACGAUCGGUAGCUGGUCUGAGAGGAUGACCAGCCACACUGGAACUGAGACACGGUCCAGACUCCUACGGGAGGCAGCAGUGGGGAAUAUUGGACAAUGGGGGCAACCCUGAUCCAGCAAUGCCGCGUGUGUGAAGAAGGCCUGAGGGUUGUAAAGCACUUUCAGUGGGGAGGAGUGUUGAUGGGUUAAGAGCUAAUUAACUGGACGUUACCCACAGAAGAAGCACCGGCUAACUCCGUGCCAGCAGCCGCGGUAAUACGGAGGGUGCGAGCGUUAAUCGGAAUUACUGGGCGUAAAGAGUGCGUAGGUGGUUGAAUAAGUUAUCUGUGAAAUCCCUGGGCUUAACCUGGGCAGGUCAGAUGAUACUGUUUAACUCGAGUAUGGGAGAGGGUAGUGGAAUUUCCGGUGUAGCGGUGAAAUGCGUAGAGAUCGGAAGGAACACCAGUGGCGAAGGCGGCUACCUGGCCUAAUACUGACACUGAGGCACGAAAGCGUGGGGAGCAAACAGGAUUAGAUACCCUGGUAGUCCACGCUGUAAACGAUGUCAACUAGCUGUUGGUUAUAUGAAAAUAAUUAGUGGCGC
Molecule: ribosomal RNA, 616 nt
Filed under: uncultured Legionella sp.
Lineage: Bacteria; Pseudomonadati; Pseudomonadota; Gammaproteobacteria; Legionellales; Legionellaceae
Description: bacterial SSU rRNA
Rfam family: Bacterial small subunit ribosomal RNA
Source: RNAcentral